RNAcentral lists this ribosomal RNA (606 nucleotides) under Grosmannia penicillata. RNAcentral describes it as "eukaryotic LSU rRNA". It matches the Rfam family "Eukaryotic large subunit ribosomal RNA", at positions 1 to 630 of the family's 3401-position model. The record is from RNAcentral. Lineage: Eukaryota; Fungi; Ascomycota; Sordariomycetes; Ophiostomatales; Ophiostomataceae.
UUGACCUCGGAUCAGGUAGGAUUACCCGCUGAACUUAAGCAUAUCAAUAAGCGGAGGAAAAGAAACCAACAGGGAUUGCCCCAGUAACGGCGAGUGAAGCGGCAACAGCUCAGAUUUGGAAUCUGGCCUUCGGGCCCGAGUUGUAAUCUGGAGAGGAUGCUUCUGGCGCGGUGCCUUCCGAGUUCCCUGGAACGGGACGCCGGAGAGGGUGAGAGCCCCGUACGGUUGGACACCUAGCCUCUGUGAAGCUCCUUCGACGAGUCGAGUAGUUUGGGAAUGCUGCUCAAAAUGGGAGGUAAAUUUCUUCUAAAGCUAAAUAUUGGCCAGAGACCGAUAGCGCACAAGUAGAGUGAUCGAAAGAUGAAAAGCACUUUGAAAAGAGAGUUAAAAAGUACGUGAAAUUGUUGAAAGGGAAGCGCCCGUGGCCAGACUUGCGCUGCGCGGACCACCCAGCGUUCUCGCUGGUGCACUCCGCGCGGCGCAGGCCAGCAUCGGUUUUCCUAGGGGGAUAAAGGUCGCGGGAACGUAGCUCCUCCGGGAGUGUUAUAGCCCGUGGCGUCAUGCCCCUGGGGGGACCGAGGACCGCGCUUCGGCAAGGAUGCUGGC